GAUAAACGCUGGCGGCGCACAUAAGACAUGCAAGUCGAACGGACUUAAUCGAAAUAUUUAUAUUUUGAAGCGGUUAGUGGCGGACUGGUGAGUAACGCGUAAGGAACCUGCCUAUUAGAGGGGAAUAACAGUGAGAAAUCAUUGCUAAUACCGCAUAUGCCAUAGAUAUCACAUGAUAACAGUGGGAAAGGAGCAAUCCGCUAAUAGAUGGCCUUGCGUCUGAUUAGAUAGUUGGUGGGGUAACGGCCUACCAAGUCGACGAUCAGUAGCCGGACUGAGAGGUUGAACGGCCACAUUGGGACUGAGAUACGGCCCAGACUCCUACGGGAGGCAGCAGUCGGGAAUAUUGCGCAAUGGAGGAAACUCUGACGCAGUGACGCCGCGUAUAGGAAGAAGGUUUUCGGAUUGUAAACUAUUGUCGUUAGGGAAGAGAAAGGACAGUACCUAAGGAGGAAGCUCCGGCGUAACUACGUG
RNAcentral lists this ribosomal RNA (474 nucleotides) under uncultured bacterium. RNAcentral describes it as "bacterial SSU rRNA". It matches the Rfam family "Bacterial small subunit ribosomal RNA", at positions 28 to 507 of the family's 1533-position model. The record is from RNAcentral.